This 429-nucleotide ribosomal RNA is filed under the name Chloroflexota bacterium. Its description in RNAcentral is "Chloroflexi bacterium partial 16S ribosomal RNA". It matches the Rfam family "Bacterial small subunit ribosomal RNA", at positions 355 to 776 of the family's 1533-position model. The record is from RNAcentral. Lineage: Bacteria; Bacillati; Chloroflexota.
UGGGGAAUAUUGCACAAUGGGCGCAAGCCUGAUGCAGCCAUGCCGCGUGUAUGAAGAAGGCCUUCGGGUUGUAAAGUACUUUCAGUCGGGAGGAAGGUGGUAAGGUUAAUAACCUUAUCAAUUGACGUUACCGACAGAAGAAGCACCGGCUAACUCCGUGCCAGCAGCCGCGGUAAUACGGAGGGUGCAAGCGUUAAUCGGAAUUACUGGGCGUAAAGCGCACGCAGGCGGUCUGUCAAGUCGGAUGUGAAAUCCCCGGGCUUAACCUGGGAACUGCAUUCGAAACUGGCAGGCUAGAGUCUUGUAGAGGGGGGUAGAAUUCCAGGUGUAGCGGUGAAAUGCGUAGAGAUGUGGAGGAAUACCGGUGGCGAAGGCGGCCCCCUGGACAAAGACUGACGCUCAGGUGCGAAAGCGUGGGGAGCAAACAGG